UACUGAAGUAUUUAUGGAGACAGAUACUGAACAUCCUGGAUUUACUAGACUCAAAUUGAUAGCAGCAGGGAAAAGAGCAAAUCAAUUUGUAUCUAAUGAAUGUAUUGUAAAUACACAAACAGGUCAAUAUUUAUCAACGACCAACUUUAUAAAUCAUAUGAAGCAGAUAAUCAAGUUUAAUGAUUUUUCUACACACGGUCCCUGCUUAUCAGAUACAGAUCAAACUGUAGAUAUUGCAUUCUGCCUAAGAAGUAAAUAUUUGCCAUACCAUGCUAUGCCAUGGAAAUUGCGUUAUCGACGGCAAUGGCCCCCUAAUGUCAAUAAUUGACAGGAUAAUAAAUUACGGUUGUUUAUUAGUACCUAUAGGACCCAGGAUUAUGGCAAAUUGUAAUUUAUUAUGGAGAAUAUCUUUCUCAGUGGCAGAAAAACAACUUGUACAUUCGUUUAAUUUCACUCAAC
This 459-nucleotide long non-coding RNA is filed under the name Mytilus galloprovincialis (Mediterranean mussel). Lineage: Eukaryota; Metazoa; Mollusca; Bivalvia; Mytilida; Mytilidae. The record is from RNAcentral.